GCCCUCCUGAUCCCUUUCCCAUCAGAUCUGAACACCGGUCUUGUGGUCGAAAAAGGAGGAAAAGUACAAUUCCAACUGGCCUCAGCCUCUCUGCAGGUGCAGUCCUGCUCUGAGGGGCCAGGGGGAAGACAGC
Non-coding RNA from Colius striatus (speckled mousebird), 133 nucleotides. NCBI's taxonomy places the organism in Eukaryota, Metazoa, Chordata, Aves, Coliiformes, Coliidae. The record is from Rfam.